RNAcentral lists this ribosomal RNA (465 nucleotides) under uncultured bacterium. RNAcentral's name for it is "partial 16S ribosomal RNA". It matches the Rfam family "Bacterial small subunit ribosomal RNA", at positions 338 to 795 of the family's 1533-position model. The record is from RNAcentral.
CCUACGGGUGGCUGCAGUGGGGAAUAUUGCGCAAUGGGCGAAAGCCUGACGCAGCGACGCCGCGUGAGGGAUGAAGGUUCUCGGAUCGUCAACCUCUGUCAGAAGGGAAGAAAUUAUUUCAUCCUAAUCAGUGGUGUAUUUACGGUACCUUCAAAUGCAGCACCGGCUAACUCCGUGCCAGCAGCCGCGGUAAUACGGAGGGUGCGUGCGUUAAUCGGAAUUAUUGGGCGUAAAGCGAACGUAGGCGGUCUGACAAGUGAACGGUGAAAUGCCACGGCUCAACCGUGGAACUGCCUUUGAAACUGUCAGACUGGAGUAUGUGAGAGGGCGGCGGAAUUCCUGGUGUAGGAGUGAAAUCCGGAGAUAUCAGGAGGAACAUCAGUGGCGAAGGCGGCCGCCUGGCACAAAACUGACGCUGAGGCGCGAAAGCGUGGGUAGCAAACAGGAUUAGAUACCCUAGUAGUC